CAACCUGCCCCACCACUUGGGGAUAACCUUGCGAAAGUAAGACUAAUACCCAAUGAUCUCUCUAGAAGACAUCUGAAAGAGAUUAAAGAUUUAUCGGUGAUGGAUGGGGAUGCGUCUGAUUAGCUUGUUGGCGGGGUAACGGCCCACCAAGGCAACGAUCAGUAGGGGUUCUGAGAGGAAGGUCCCCCACAUUGGAACUGAGACACGGUCCAAACUCCUACGGGAGGCAGCAGUGAGGAAUAUUGGUCAAUGGACGAGAGUCUGAACCAGCCAAGUAGCGUGCAGGAUGACGGCCCUAUGGGUUGUAAACUGCUUUUAUAAGGGAAUAAAGUGAGUCUCGUGAGACUUUUUGCAUGUACCUUAUGAAUAAGGACCGGCUAAUUCCGUGCCAGCAGCCGCGGUAAUACGGAAGGUCCGGGCGUUAUCCGGAUUUAUUGGGUUUAAAGGGAGCGUAGGCCGGAGAUUAAGCGUGUUGUGAAAUGUAGACGCUCAACGUCUGCACUGCAGCGCGAACUGGUUUCCUUGAGUACGCACAAAGUGGGCGGAAUUCGUGGUGUAGCGGUGAAAUGCUUAGAUAUCACGAAGAACUCCGAUUGCGAAGGCAGCUCACUGGAGCGCAACUGACGCUGAAGCUCGAAAGUGCGGGUAUCGAACAGGAUUAGAUACCCUGGUAGUCCGCACGGUAAACGAUGGAUGCCCGCUGU
Molecule: ribosomal RNA, 704 nt
Filed under: uncultured bacterium
Lineage: Bacteria
Description: bacterial SSU rRNA
Rfam family: Bacterial small subunit ribosomal RNA
Source: RNAcentral